This 506-nucleotide ribosomal RNA is filed under the name uncultured bacterium. Its description in RNAcentral is "partial 16S ribosomal RNA". It matches the Rfam family "Bacterial small subunit ribosomal RNA", at positions 28 to 523 of the family's 1533-position model. The record is from RNAcentral.
GAUGAACGCUAGCUACAGGCUUAACACAUGCAAGUCGAGGGGUAACGAGAGGAAAGCUUGCUUUCCUUGUCGACGACCGGCGCACGGGUGAGUAACGCGUAUCCAACCUGCCCCCAACUAGGGAAUAACCUUGCGAAAGUAGGACUAAUACCCUAUAAUUUCCUCAGAUGUCAUCUGACGAGGAAUAAAGAUUUAUCGGUUAUAGAUGGGGAUGCGUCUGAUUAGCUUGUUGGCGGGGUAACGGCCCACCAAGGCAACGAUCAGUAGGGGUUCUGAGAGGAAGGUCCCCCACAUUGGAACUGAGACACGGUCCAAACUCCUACGGGAGGCAGCAGUGAGGAAUAUUGGUCAAUGGGCGGAAGCCUGAACCAGCCAAGUAGCGUGCAGGAUGACGGCCCUAUGGGUUGUAAACUGCUUUUAUACAGGAAUAAAGUUAGCCACGUGUGGUUAUUUGUAGGUACUGUAUGAAUAAGGACCGGCUAAUUCCGUGCCAGCCGCCGCAGUAA